RNAcentral lists this ribosomal RNA (205 nucleotides) under uncultured bacterium. Its description in RNAcentral is "partial 16S ribosomal RNA". It matches the Rfam family "Bacterial small subunit ribosomal RNA", at positions 568 to 773 of the family's 1533-position model. The record is from RNAcentral.
AGCGCAGGCGGGAAAGUAAGUCAGUCUUAAAAGUGCGGGGCUCAACCCCGUGAGGGGAUUGAAACUACUUUUCUUGAGUGCAGGAGAGGAAAGCGGAAUUCCUAGUGUAGCGGUGAAAUGCGUAGAUAUUAGGAGGAACACCAGUGGCGAAGGCGGCUUUCUGGACUGUAACUGACACUGAGGCUCGAAAGCCAGGGGAGCGAAG